UACAGAGGUCCCGAGCGUUGUUCGGAUUCAUUGGGCGUAAAGGGUGUGUAGGCGGCGCGCUAAGUCGGGUGUGAAAUUUCGGAGCUUAACUCCGAAACUGCAUUCGAUACUGGCGUGCUUGAGGACUGGAGAGGAGACUGGAAUUCAUGGUGUAGCAGUGAAAUGCGUAGAGAUCAUGAGGAAGACCAGUGGCGAAGGCGGGUCUCUGGACAGUUCCUGACACUGAGACACGAAGGCCAGGGGAGCAAACAGG
This 253-nucleotide ribosomal RNA is filed under the name uncultured bacterium. RNAcentral describes it as "partial 16S ribosomal RNA". It matches the Rfam family "Bacterial small subunit ribosomal RNA", at positions 524 to 776 of the family's 1533-position model. The record is from RNAcentral.